AAAACCAUAAACCCAUCUGGGUUUGUACUGGGCGUCGCCCUUGGGCGUAGCCUCAAAGCCAUUGGUCUUGAAUGCGGACGAGAUCCAUUAGGACAGACCGUGCUUGGACUUUAAAUAUCUG
Molecule: unclassified non-coding RNA, 121 nt
Filed under: uncultured Archaeorhizomyces
Lineage: Eukaryota; Fungi; Ascomycota; Archaeorhizomycetes; Archaeorhizomycetales; Archaeorhizomycetaceae
Description: sequence contains ITS2
Source: RNAcentral